This 253-nucleotide ribosomal RNA is filed under the name uncultured bacterium. Its description in RNAcentral is "partial 16S ribosomal RNA". It matches the Rfam family "Bacterial small subunit ribosomal RNA", at positions 524 to 776 of the family's 1533-position model. The record is from RNAcentral.
UACGUAGGGGGCAAGCGUUGUCCGGAAUCAUUGGGCGUAAAGAGCGCGUAGGCGGUCCGGUAAGUCCGCUCUGAAAGUCCGGGGCUCAACCCCGGGAGGCGGGCGGAUACUGUCGGGCUAGAGUCCGGAAGAGGCGAGUGGAAUUCCUGGUGUAGCGGUGAAAUGCGCAGAUAUCAGGAGGAACACCAAUGGCGAAGGCAGCUCGCUGAGACGGUACUGACGCUGAGGCGCGAAAGCGUGGGGAGCAAACAGG